CGCAAGCCUGAACGAGCGAUGCCGCGUGAGUGAAGAAGGCCUUCGGGUCGUAAAGCUCUGUUGCGGGGGGAAAAAAGGGCAGCAUCAGGAAAUGGGUGCUGACUGAUGGUGCCCCGCCAGAAAGUCACGGCUAACUACGUGCC
RNAcentral lists this ribosomal RNA (143 nucleotides) under uncultured bacterium. RNAcentral's name for it is "partial 16S ribosomal RNA". It matches the Rfam family "Bacterial small subunit ribosomal RNA", at positions 376 to 509 of the family's 1533-position model. The record is from RNAcentral.